AACGAACGCUGGCGGCAUGCCUAACACAUGCAAGUCGAACGAAGUCUUCGGACUUAGUGGCGCACGGGUGCGUAACGCGUGGGAAUCUGCCCUUGGGUACGGAAUAACUCAGAGAAAUUUGUGCUAAUACCGUAUAAUGUCGUAAGACCAAAGAUUUAUCGCCCAAGGAUGAGCCCGCGUAAGAUUAGCUAGUUGGUAGGGUAAAAGCCUACCAAGGCGACGAUCUUUAGCUGGUCUGAGAGGAUGAUCAGCCACACUGGGACUGAGACACGGCCCAGACUCCCACGGGAGGCAGCAGUGGGGAAUAUUGGACAAUGGGCGAAAGCCUGAUCCAGCAAUGCCGCGUGAGUGAUGAAGGCCCUAGGGUUGUAAAGCUCUUUUACCCGGGAUGAUAAUGACAGUACCGGGAGAAUAAGCUCCGGCUAACUCCGUGCCAGCAGCCGCGGUAAAGUCUGUACU
RNAcentral lists this ribosomal RNA (459 nucleotides) under uncultured bacterium. RNAcentral's name for it is "bacterial SSU rRNA". It matches the Rfam family "Bacterial small subunit ribosomal RNA", at positions 29 to 531 of the family's 1533-position model. The record is from RNAcentral.